Molecule: ribosomal RNA, 788 nt
Filed under: uncultured archaeon
Lineage: Archaea
Description: bacterial SSU rRNA
Rfam family: Bacterial small subunit ribosomal RNA
Source: RNAcentral
ACUGCUCAGUAACACGUAGGAACGUACCCCAAAGUGAGGCAUAAGCACCAGAAAUGGUGUCUAAUACCGCAUGUGCUCUAAGGAGUAAAGCUUCGGCGCUUUGGGAACGGCCUACGCAUGAUUAGCUUGUUGGUGAGGUAAUAGCUCACCAAGGCGACGAUCAUUAGCUGGUCUGAGAGGAUGACCAGCCAGACUGGGACUGAGAACGGCCCAGACUCCUACGGGAGGCAGCAGUAGGGAAUUUUCCACAAUGGGCGAAAGCCUGAUGGAGCAACGCCGCGUGCAGGAUGAAGGCCUUCGGGUUGUAAACUGCUUUUCUCUGUGAAGAUUAUGACGGUAGCAGAAGAAUAAGGAUCGGCUAACUCCGUGCCAGCAGCCGCGGUCAUACGGAGGAUCCGAGCGUUAUCCGGAAUUACUGGGCGUAAAGAGUUGCGUAGGUGGCAGAGUAAGCAGAUAGUGAAAUCGUGUGGCUCAACCAUACAUCCAUUAUCUGAACUGCUCAGCUAGAAGGCGAGAGAGGUAGAUGGAAUUCCCAGUGUAGGGAGUGAAUCCGUAGAUAUUGGGAGGAACACCGAUGGCGUAGGCAGUCUACUGGCUCGUCCUUGACACUAAGGCACGAAAGCGUGGGGAGCAAACGGGAUUAGAUACCCCGGUAGUCCACGCUGUAAACUAUGGAUGCUAGCUGUUAGGAGUAUCGACCCUCCUAGUAGCGAAGCUAACGCGUUAAGCAUCCCGCCUGUGGAGUACGGUCGCAAGACUAAAACAUAAAGGAAUUGGCGGGGGAGCAC